GACGAACGCUGGCGGCGUGCUUAACACAUGCAAGUCGAACGGAAAGGCCCUGCUUUUGUGGGGUGCUCGAGUGGCGAACGGGUGAGUAACACGUGAGUAACCUGCCCUUGACUUUGGGAUAACUUCAGGAAACUGGGGCUAAUACCGGAUAGGAGCUCCUGCUGCAUGGUGGGGGUUGGAAAGUUUCGGCGGUUGGGGAUGGACUCGCGGCUUAUCAGCUUGUUGGUGGGGUAGUGGCUUACCAAGGCUUUGACGGGUAGCCGGCCUGAGAGGGUGACCGGCCACAUUGGAACUGAGAUACGGCCCAGACUGCUACGGGAGGCAGCAGUGGGGAAUAUUGCACAAUGGGCGGAAGCCUGAUGCAGCAACGCCGCGUGCGGGAUGACGGCCUUCGGGUUGUAAACCGCUUUCGCCUGUGACGAAGCGUGAGUGACGGUAAUGGGUAAAGAAGCACCGGCUAACUACGUG
Molecule: ribosomal RNA, 468 nt
Filed under: uncultured bacterium
Lineage: Bacteria
Description: partial 16S ribosomal RNA
Rfam family: Bacterial small subunit ribosomal RNA
Source: RNAcentral